Ananas comosus (pineapple) is the source of this 1481-nucleotide RNA transcript. RefSeq lists it as uncharacterized. Lineage: Eukaryota; Viridiplantae; Streptophyta; Magnoliopsida; Poales; Bromeliaceae. The transcript is spliced from 11 exons. The record is from RefSeq and is a predicted model, not a curated record.
AAACCAAAUUUAAUACCGCCUCUCUCGUCGCUCUCGCUUCCACGACCAAACCCCUCCGAGUAUCACCCCGACGAAGAGGAGGAGAAGGAUUUUUUAGGGUUUCGUAGAAGAGCACGGUGCACAACAAUGGCAAUGCGGGUGGUGAUAGGGCUCUCGAGAGCCAGUCUCUUGGCCGGUGCAGGGCUUGCUGGUUCGACUUUGGUACGGGAUGGGAGGUGGCAUGAUAUACUGGCGGAGCUUCAGGACACGCUCAAGGGAGUGGGGAACUCUGGAGAGAAAGUAACUGAUGCUGUUGUUAAAUUGUUUGAAAUUCUUGAGAAAGGAACUGAUGCUGUUGAUGAAUGGUUUGAAAGUUUUGGUCCUCAGGUGCAAAAGUUGCUCUUGGAGGUCUGGAAACGUCUUCCCACAUAUUCUACGACUGUUCACAAUGGAAAUUCAGGCGGAAAUUCAGGCCUGACAGGAUUAACAACACUUAUAUUACCAGCUGCCACCUUGGGAGGAUUAGGCUGUGGAUACAUGUGGUGGAAAGGUAUCUCUCUUUCCAACUUCAUGUAUGUCACCAAACGAAAUAUGGCAAAUGAUGUUUCAAGCAUGACAAAAAAAUUGGAGCAAGUCUCUGCUUCUCUUUCUGGAGCUAUGAGGCAUCUGACUCAGCAAAUUAACAGGUUGGAUGAUAAACUAGAUGAGCAAAAGCACAUUGCUGAAAAAAUAGAACAGGAGGUUACUGAUGCACGCAUGAGUACAGGCUCAGAUAUAAAGGCCAUCACUCAAUUAGUUCAGAAUCUGGGUGAUAAGAUUAGUGUGAUGGAAGAGAAACGGGUAGACCUUCCACUCAAACUAAUUUCCAUGGUUUUACAUGUUCUCUUCAUUUGUCUCACUUGUUCAGUUCUGCAGAUAACUCUUCCGUGUGUAAAUCUUAUUUACUACCUGGUCUGCUGCAACUAGUGGACUCAGAAGAAUCGGGGAAUGUUGCAAGGCGCUCUGAAUCAGGAAAUUCUGCGACUCUGGCGCUGAUCUCGUCUUGCUAAAUGAUAUUGAUUCGGGAUUCUUCUCCACUAGCUAGCUCUCUAAACAUUGAGGACCUCAAAAGCAAAUUUUGGGCUGUUGAAGAAGAAGAAGAAGAAGAAGAUCUACGGCAAGAAUCACUUCCUAAGGGCUGAUGUACCAUGCACAAACUGUUGGUUAUAUUCUGAGCUGAUCUCGUUGGUCACAAAGGAGGGUUGCAGAAGUUGAAGUUCGUCGGUGAGGCUUUGGUCUUGAGAUGUAAAACCGUUGUCGGCUGCUCCUCGUUUAAGCCAUUUGAUAUAUGUGCUUAAGUCGAAGUUGAUCGAAAAAGCAAGAGAGUUGAUCAAAAAAGCCCGCCGCAAUGCGUGGAUAACUUCACCGGUUUUGCUUGAUUAUAUAUAAAUAAAUAAAAUUCGUUAAGUUACUGAAUUCACAUAUAACGUUAUUCUUAAAAUUUUAUUUUAUGUUGUAUAAGG